AGCGAACGCUGGCGGCGUACUUAACACAUGCAAGUCGAACGGGGAUCAUCGGGUUAGCAAUAACUCGGUGGUCCUAGUGGCGCACGGGUGAGUAACACGUGGGUAACCUGCCCUGGAGACCGGGAUACCCCCUCGAAAGGGGGGCUAAUACCGGAUACGUUCCCUGGAUCGAGAGGUCUGGGGAGGAAAGGUGGCGAAAGCUGCCGCUCUUGGAGGGGCUCGCGGCCUAUCAGCUAGUUGGCGGGGUAACGGCCCACCAAGGCUGUGACGGGUAGCUGGUCUGAGAGGACGACCAGCCACACGGGGACUGAGACACGGCCCCGACUCCUACGGGAGGCAGCAGUGGGGAAUUUUCCGCAAUGGACGCAAGUCUGACGGAGCGACGCCGCGUGCAGGAUGAAGUCC
RNAcentral lists this ribosomal RNA (405 nucleotides) under uncultured bacterium. Its description in RNAcentral is "bacterial SSU rRNA". It matches the Rfam family "Bacterial small subunit ribosomal RNA", at positions 28 to 416 of the family's 1533-position model. The record is from RNAcentral.